This 1057-nucleotide long non-coding RNA is filed under the name Chrysemys picta bellii (western painted turtle). RNAcentral describes it as "lncRNA (ENSCPBG00000016654.1)". Lineage: Eukaryota; Metazoa; Chordata; Testudines; Emydidae. The record is from RNAcentral.
AUGAAUGUUAAUUAAGUCAGAUAUUUUAGUAACUUGUAGAAAUAUAUCAAUAUAGCAACUACCGGUAUUUAAUGACAGAGGCACAGGGAAUUCUCUUUAGAUUAAUAACUUCCUGGGAGUUGUUAAUUUGGGACUAUUAGCCAAUGUCAGAUACAUUUGGAACAAAUCCCACAGAUUCUAGUAGGUCUGGAAUUCACUAAUGCAGGAUGGCAACAGCCAGGAAAUGCAAAUAUUAAGUCUCUACAGUAACAUUAACUAGGCCACAUUGUACAUCUGGUAUGUUUUAUGGUUCACAUUGAGCCACACAAAUAUAGCAAGUGAUUUUUUGAGUUUUAGCUUACUAUUAUGCAGAGUUCUAAUUCUAGUUCUCAUAAUCAGAGCAUGCAUCUCAAUAAGUUUGUGAGAAAUGCUAAAAUAUUGUUUUAAAAAUUGAGGAGCACCUGGAAUUUUAAAUAAAUUUGAAAGAUUGGCACCUAACAAGAAAAACAGGAAUGGAAAAGACUGCCUCUGUGCAAUGUGGUAGAGCUGACCCAGGAACAUUAACUUUUGCGUUUCCCGACUAACUUUGCAUGAAUGUAGGAUUUUGCUUGUUUAUUUUUGGUUAUAAUUUCCCAGUGUGUUUUAAAAAAAGAAAAAAGCAAAGUCCUCAGUUUACCAAGUAUAAUUAAGUUAAUUUUGUGCUUUUUAUGUGGUAUCCUCCACAUACUGGUUUGGGUACAUAGGGAUAAUUGUAUGUUCUUACUCUGCGGCUUAUGAGGUAUUUGUGAGCUGCAACAGUCCUUGAUGUGUAACAUGAGUUUCAAGUUUAAUAAAGUCUUUAUUUACCUUCAGAUAUGCCUCCACAUGGUUUCUCAGCAAAACACAGCACAGCACACAGGAAAGACAUUUUUAUCCAGGGCUUGGAUUGCGCUGGUGCAUAUGGAUCUGGAGUACCUGCAUCUUUCUGCAGGUACUAUCUUGUUCUCCAGAAUCUCAGUAUAACUGAUGCAGAAAUGUCUAUGGCCAUGUCGAGACUAGGAUUUAAAGAUGUGCUGUUCACACGUUAUCUAACGUGCUA